CAGGGAGGUGUAAUGCAGCCCAUCACGAAGAGUUAAUGUUACCAACCAGAAAUUGAUCAUUUUAAUAUUAAUGCACACCCUAAAGAGGUUUAUUUCUCUUACACAACAGCAAUUGCCAACCACUAAUUUUUUUUAUUAAUUAAAGAACAACACAUUAUACUUUUUAUCCACUUAUAGUUAUAUUUAAUGUUGUAGAAUGUCUGCAAAACUAGUUCCUGUUGUCACUUCUGUUAUAGCAGCUAUAAACAGUCACCAGCCUACUUUUUCUCUCUUGAAAUCAAUGAGAAAAAAACACACAAAGCGCAGUCUUCUGUUCUGAAUAAUUUCUGAGGGAGAUUAAAAAACUUAAGUUAGAAAAGUAAGCUAGAAAGUUAGAACACCUACUGACUGUUAGAAAGUGCUGACACUGGAGACCCUUUCCAAUAAUUUUAUCGAAAACGCCUACUGACCAAUCAUAUUCAACAAUUAAGCAGUGCUGUGGGAUAAAAUAAGUUUAACCAUGCUAAUGUGGGUGGCCGGUUAUUAAUCCAUUAACCUGGCAGACAAUUGAAAGCGGUUGCAUAGUGUGUGGCCCUCGAGUGGCAUCGCUGUCCUAACGUAAAUACAUCAGUAGCUAUCUGUGUAUGUUAAACCAUCUGUACUGUGUCUAUUCAGAGCACUGUGUUCAUUUUGUCCUUUCAGAGACUAAACAAAACACCAGAGCUUCAGGGAGGCACUAUAUGAACAGGGUCGUACACAACGUAUGACUGACAGCUUGAAAGCUUGGAUAGGAGUAGGGUCCAGAAAUGUCAAAUACCAUGCAGGACACCUGGCAACAUUUUAGAGUAGACCCACAUAUGGAUGUGAUGGUCAGGUGUCCACAAUCUUAUGGUCAUAUAGUGUAUGUGGUUCCAACGCCAGUGAAUACCAACAUGCAGAGACAUCCAUCCAACGCCAGUCUGUUCUGACUUUAAAUAGUUUAGGAAUCUCUAAAAAGAUGUUGCUAUUGGACUGUUUUUGGUCUGUCCUUUGUCUUUUUUUUGUCAAUAUUAAGUUUGGAAGCACAUACACUAUAUGACCAUAAGAUUGUGGACACCUGACCAUCACAUCCAUAUGUGGGUCUACUCUAAAAUGUUGCCACAAAGUAUGAAGCACACAAUUGUCUAGGAUGUCUUUGUGUGCUGUAGGAUUAACAUUUCCCCUCACUAGAAUGAAGGGGCCCAGACCUGUUCCAGCAUGACAGUGCUCCUGUGCACAAAGUGAGGUUCAUGAAGACAUGGUUUGCCAAGGUUGAUGUGGAAGUAUUUGAGUGGUCUGCACAGAGCCCUGACCUCAACUCCACUAAACACCUUUGGGGUGAACUGUAACGCUGACUGCACCCCAGACCUCCUCGCCUGACAUCAGUGCCUGACCUCACUAAUGCUCUUGUGGCUGAAUGAGCAAAUUCCCACAGCCACGCUCCAAAAUCUAGUCUGAAUUCUUCCCAGAAGUUUGGAGGUUAUGCUAAUGGCAAAGGGGAACUAAAUCUGGAUUGGGAUGUUCAACAAGCAUACAUAUUUCUCAUAAAGCUAAAUGGUGGAAUUUACUGUAUUUUUUGUCUUCUUUUGAGAAAAAUAUUUUUUUUCUUAAUGAUUUUCUUCAUUUGAAAAUGUAAAUAAAAACGCAAUGUGAUUGUGAUUUACCAGUGUUUGAAGUGAGAUGAUAUUCCCAGCAACUCCCAGCAAAGAUGUCGUUUUGAAGUCUUCUUAUCUUCUGGGACUUUAUUCAAAUGGAGCUUGUGGUUCAAAUCGAUCUUGUGAAUUUUUUUUUUUUUGGAAGCAAUAUACGCUCACAGUUCGAGUAUAUUCAAGAUAAAACUUGUGAGAACAAUUGUUGCUAGGUAUAAAAAUUUGCUGUUAAAUUACAAAGAAAUUAGGCUAAAAAUUGAACUAGCUAGCACAUGCUUGCAAAUGUUUUUGCAGACAAGACAAAGUCAGUGUAACAGUAAAACAAAAAUAUCAGGAAUUUAAACAUUUAACUCAGAUAUUUUGGUAAAUGACUAAGAAAAGACUAAGAAUGUGUAAAAUUACACUGUAACAAAUAUAGAAUCAACUUCUGUGAGUUCCACCAUAUUGACAGAUGUUGACAUUGUGCCAUUUUUCAUGACUUUGUUCUAUAAAUAUCACAAUAGUGAGUAAUUUAUAUGAAAUCUUAUCAUAAACCUGAACAUGCCUGGGAAGCCCAGUCCCCAGAAAAGGAGCUUAAAAUAGUCUCUGAUUGCAGCGGCCAUCUGUAUGAAACACUAUCAACAUGAGAAAUGAACCAAGACAGUGGCUUCCCAUGACCCUCUCUGUGGUAUUUACCUUUUGACCCCAUCUGUUGGGCUUAUAUAUCCUUGAGGAGCUUUUUGGACACCAGAGUAGCUGUGCGUGCACGUACUCAGCUAAUGAUGUGGGUAUGCAUACAAACAUAUAAAUUAGCGGAAAAGGGAGGACAAGGAGAAAGAGAGUUACAAAACGGAGUGUGUGGUAUGAUUGGUCAGUGUGGAAUUCCAUUGAAGGCAUUUCCCACAGCUGGAUCUGCAGCCCAGAACAAACAAAGCACUUUCUUGGGAAUAGAGAUCCUAACUCAUAGACUUCUUCGUCUGCAUCUCCGCAGUAGGUCUAGCUGCAAAUGGAAAGUAAAUUUUGUUCAACAAUACUAUUGAUGUUUUUUGCAGUUUUUGUUCAGUUAGCUAGCAUUACUUUACACUGUCAUACAACUGCUGUGUAAUCUGUUCAUAAAAAUGUCACUUGUAAGUAAUUUUGAAGUUAUUUUCUAGAAAAGGUGCAACUGUGUAAAAAAAGGAACAAUGCUGAGUCUCUUGCUAAUUAUAGAACGUAAACAGAGGAUUAGCUUGAACAAGCAAAGAUUGUUAAAUGCCCUGUUUGUUGCCAAAGGAUUGAAGAUGCCGCCACACUGCCAAAAUUCCUAGAUACUCUGUAUUACCUCAAGUUUUAAACAGGAGCAGAGCAGAGGAGUGUAGGAGAAGGUGUUUUGUCCGAGAGUAGUACACAGUCCAUCCGUUACUGCUGGAUGUUUGGAUUAUGAGUACUGCUGACUAACCGUGCCUUAACGGCGUUUGAGUUUUAUUGCUUUAUCUGGAAAAAUGAAUCAAAGGAGACCUGUUUUGCAAGAAAAAAAUAAAUCCGAAUUACACUCAAAUGGAAAGAGGAACAGAAGUAAAGACUGUCUUCUGGUGAAUGCUGAAUUCGGUGAUGACAGUUGUGGCUAUUAUGGACAUCUCUAUAGUGACUGUGCACAUCAGACUCGGCAGAUGGUGGCUAAGAGCAGGAGGCAGGCCUCACGGGGGGCGGCUUAUAUGUUCAAUGCACAUCCCAACAGCCUGACACCUGUGGAGGAGCGCUUCCUGGAUGCUGCUGAGUAUGGAAACAUCCCUGUAGUGCGGCGAAUGCUUGAGGAGAUUCCUGGGCUGGAUGUGAACUGUGUGGACUACAUGGGCCAGAAUGCCUUACAGAUAGCAGUGGCCAACGAACAUCUCGAGGUUACGGAACUUCUGUUAAAGAAGGAUAACUUGUCUCGGAUUGGUGACGCGCUCCUUUUAGCUAUAAGCAAAGGCUACAUACGAAUUGUUGAGGCCAUCCUGAAUCACACGGCCUUUGCUGACUCCAGGAGAUUAACCGCCAGCCCAAGAGAGGCAGCAAUGCACGAUGACUUCUUUGCAUAUGACGAAGACGGGACUCGCUUUUCUCAUGACAUCACGCCGAUCAUCCUGGCAUCUCACUGCCAUGAGUAUGAGAUCGUCCACAUCCUCCUGGGCAGAGGGGCUCGUAUCGAUCAGCCCCAUGACUAUUUCUGUACCUGUGACACCUGCAAUUACCAUCAGAAAUAUGAUUCAUUCAGUCACUCACGCUCACGGAUCAACGCCUACAGAGGCCUGGCCAGUCCAGCUUACCUCUCUCUGUCCAAUGAAGAUCCAGUGCUGGCUGCUUUAGAGCUCAGCAAUGAACUUGCCUGUUUGGCGAAUAUUGAGAAGGAAUUCAAGAAUGAUUAUAGGAAACUCUCUAUGCAAUGCAAAGGCUUUGUAGUUGGACUUCUGGAUCUGUGUCGGAGCACAGAGGAAGUGGAGGCCAUUUUGAACGGUGACGUAGAUGAGAGCUCUGAACUACCAGGCCGACCAAGCCUCACCCGACUGAACCUUGCAAUAAAGUAUGAACUUAAAAAGUUUGUUGCGCAUCCUAAUUGCCAGCAGCAGCUCCUCUCAAUCUGGUAUGAGAAUCUGCCUGGAUUGAGACAGCAGACCACAGCCAUCAAGUUUUUGGUGGUCCUGGGCGUUGCGAUAGGACUGCCCUUCUUAUCCAUCGUGUACUGGGUGGCACCGUGUAGUAAGCUGGGAAAAAUUAUGCGAGGCCCUUUUCUGAAGUUUGUGGCUCACGGAGCAUCUUUCACUAUUUUCCUUGGCUUGUUAGUGUUCAAUGCAGCUGAUCGCUUUGACGGGAGCAAACUGUUGCCAAAUAUGACCGUCCAUGACUAUCCAGCACAGCUGUUCCGCAUGAAAACAACUCCCUUCACAUGGAUGGAGAUGCUCAUCAUCUUCUGGGUAAUAGGGAUGAUCUGGGCUGAAUGCAAAGAGAUCUGGUGUCAGGGGCCGAGAGAGUACCUCCUCGAACCUUGGAAUAUGUUGGAUUUUGGAAUGUUAGCCAUUUUUAUAGCCUCCUUUGUCACAAGGAUACUGGCUUACUGGCAUGCAUCUAUAGCACAGAGUUACGUUGAUAAACACUACACAGAUAUAACAAAUGUAACCUUACCACCAGCGAUCGAAUACUUCAGACUGGCUCGUCUCUCCUGGCUGCCGUCAGAUCCACAGCUGGUUUCUGAAGGGCUGUAUGCCAUUGCAGUGGUUUUGAGUUUCUCUCGAAUCGCAUAUAUCCUUCCAGCCAAUGAGAGCUUUGGACCCCUGCAAAUCUCUUUGGGAAGGACUGUAAAAGACAUCUUCAAAUUCAUGGUGAUCUUCAUUCUGGUCUUUCUGGCCUUCAUGAUUGGAAUGUUCAACCUAUAUUCAUAUUAUUUGGGGGCUAAACAGAAUGACGCAUUCACAACCAUAGAAGAAAGCUUCAAAACACUGUUUUGGGCCAUUUUUGGACUCUCUGAGGUCAAGUCAGUGGUUGUGAACAACGGACACAAGUUCAUUGAGAACACCGGUUAUGUGCUCUAUGGAGUGUAUAACGUCACUAUGGUCAUUGUGUUGCUCAACAUGCUCAUCGCAAUGAUCAAUAGCUCCUUUCAGGAGAUUGAGGAUGACGCAGAUGUGGAGUGGAAAUUUGCCCGGACCAAACUCUGGUUUUCCUACUUUGAGGAGGGCCGGACCCUCCCUGUGCCAUUCAAUCUGGUGCCUAGCCCAAAGUCUGUGCUUAGCCUGGGCCUUGGUUUAAAAUCGCUGCUGAUGAAACUCUUCCAAAAACAUAGAGCCUUUAUGAAGAACGAGGCAGAACUCAUUAGGAGAGAAUAAAACCAACAAAAUGACGAGUCAUCGAUACCAGGUAUGACUAUCACUGGAGAAUUCUCUAAUCAAGCCCUGGUGGACCACAGUACUGCACAGCUUAAUGCUUUCCCAUGCUGUUCACGCAACAUAAUAGAUUUACACAAUGUUCCCUUUCCUUCAAAUGCAGCCAGCCAAGAGAUGGUUGGUGUCUGCCUAGAGUCAUUGUAACUGACAUCGUUACUGUUUAUAGAUUACAGUAAGUCACACUGUGUCCUAAACCACAUCUGCAAGUCUGUGUGACUUCAGUGAAGAAGUAGAUGUGGUUUAUAGCAGAUAUUCUUGGAAAAGAUUCAUGUAAGACAGACUUCCAAACUAUUCGUUAGCCUUGUAGAUCCAGUGCACUAAAGGAGCGAACAUCAAACACCAAAUAUGUGACUAAUUAACUACAUUUGGGACCAGGGAAAAUUGUGUAAUUUUUUUUUUUACCAAACUAUUCCUUAAAAACACUCUAUCCUGUAUAUCUUACGGUAUUCCUGUGCAUUUAUGCGGUUAUUCAGUCAGCUAAAUCACACGACAAGCAGUGUUGAGCAUAAAAUCAUGCAGAUUCAGGUCAAGCGCUUCAGUUAUUUUUAGCAUCAAACAUCAGAAUGGGGAAAAAAAUGUGAUCUCAGUCGGUGAAUUUGACUGUGGCAUGGUUGUUGGUCCCAGAUGGGUUGAUUUGAGUAUUUCAGAGACUGCUAAUCUCCUGGGAUUUUCAUGCACAACAUUCAUAAGUUGUGGACAUGGUAUGGAACGUUGUGCAGAUUGACCCUUGUAGCACACUGUGAUGUCAAUCACCAGGUUCUUAGGUUUCAGACACCUAAUCUUAGAUAGGAACCUUGAGUUCAGUCACACAGUCACCCUAGAACCAUCUGGUCAUCAGUGCGUGCAGGGCGAGCUUAUCAUCAUGGUAUGUCUUUAGCUUUAGCCCUUUGCUGAGGUGAUCAUCAGCCGAAAAGGCUGUCUACAAUGACACUCCUUCCAGAUGAGCACUUCUUCCAGAUGAGAUGUGGCCACUGUAGCCUCAGAUUCCUGUUUUUGGAUGACAGGAGUGGAACCCAGUGUGUUCUUCUUUUGUUGUAGCCUCAAGGUUCAACAUGUUGUGCCUUCUGAGAUGCUUUUUUGCUCACCAUGGUGGCCAUUCACCUCUGACCUCUCUCGUCAACAAGCCGUUUUCACCCACAGAAUUGCCACUCAAUGGAUCUUUUUUGGUUUUCACACCAUUCUGAGUAACCUUAUAGACUGUUGUAUGUGAACAUUCAAGGAGAUUUGCAGAUAGCACCACUCUGAUCAGCUUCAUUUCCAACAACGAUGUGCACACUGAUUGAUAAAAGGUGAUACGCCUAACAACAUGGUGCAGCCAAAACCACCUGGACCUCAACACAUAGAAAACACAGGAGCUGGUCAUUGACUUUAGGAGGAAAAUGCCAUCUCACUCCACACUGGACAUACAGCGCAGCAGAAUCUUUCAAAUUUCUGGCCACUCUUAUGUCACAGGACGUGAAAUGGGAAGACAACAUCAUUUCUAUUACAAAGAAGACCCAGCAGCAACUCCUCUUUCUGUGACAGCUAAGAAAAAGCACAAACUCUCCCAAAACUAUUGAUACAGUUUUAUACAGCUAUCAUCAGGUUGAUCCUAACAUCAUCUGUAACAGUUUGGUUCAGUGCAGCUAAAGCUGAGCUACAGCGGACUAUCAGAAAGGCUGAGAAAACGAUUGACUGUAGCCUACCAUCCUUACAGGACUUAUAUCUAGCCAGAGUAAGAAAGCGUACACAAAAGAUUUCAACUGAUUCUACACACUACCUACUACCUUUUCCAAAAAUAUCCCUCUGGCAGCGCUUCCAGUCAGUAAAAACAAGAACCAUAAACACCAAAACAGCUUUUUCCAAAGAACUGUAGCAAUUAUCAACAAACUCUAACUCACACACCCACUUCUCAAGACUGUUUAUUAUUUGCACUGACAGCACCUUGAUCUUAAAAACACUCUUGCACAUUCCUUUUGGACCUCGGUGUGUGUGUGUGUGUGUGUGUCGUGUUGUUCCCAUAUGUCUGCACCUUGUACCAAGACAAAAUCCUUGUACAUGCAAGUGUGCUUGGUGAAACAAAAUGAUUCUGAUUCUGAUUUCUGUAAUACUCAACCCAGCCCAUCGGGCACCGACAACCACGACACGUUCAAAGUCACAGAUGCUAAUGGUAGGUGUGUAUGCACAGUUAGGAGUUGAAACCAGUGCAAACUGGUUGAGGGAUUAAAAGCAGACAAAGCUCUGAAUUGUGCAGUGCUGUGAUCCUGCCGAAAUGGACUUUAUUUUAUAUCAUUCUGUCUGUGAAAUGACAGUGCAUGUGUGGUUAAAAUGUCUUUUGAAUUCAUUUCAAAUUUUCCCCCUAUUCUGAUGUGAACAUUAACGGAAGCUCUUGACCUGCAUUUGCAUGGUUUUAUGCAUUGUGUUGCUGCCACAUGAUUGGCUGAUUGGAUAACUGCAGGAAUGAGCAGGUGUAAAGGUGUUCCUAAUAAAGUAACCAGCGAGUGUAUAUUUGUUUUACAGUUGAUAACUGACACUGUCUAAUAGCAACUGUAAAUCAAAUCUGGUUAAAACAACAACAACAACAACAAAAGUAACUGCCUCACACCUCCAGGGCUGGGGGUUCGAUUCCUGGCUCUGCCCUGUGUGUGGAGUUUGCAUGUUCUCCCAGUGCUUUGGGGGUUUCCUCCAGGUACUCCAGUUUCCUCCCUCAAUCCAAAGACAUGUGUUGUAGGCUGACUGGUAUCUCCAAAUUGUCCAUAGUGUGUGAAUGUGUGUGUGAUUGUACCCUGCGAUGGGUUGGCACCCCUUCCAGGGUGUCUCCUGCCUUGUGCUCCAAGUCUCCUGGGAUAGGCGCCAGGCUCCCCGUGACCCUGUGUAGGAUAAGCAGUACAGAAAAUGGAUGGAUUCCCAAGAUUUAGGAAUUGUUUACCUUAAUUUCAAAUAACGGGUUAAAUGUAAUAAAACAUAGAAACACUCCACAUAUUCAGAAAAACUUUGACAUGCAGUGUAAAUAGAGCCCCUAAAAUCCUUUCCCUUUCUUGGGAAUCUGUUAAUGGCAGGUAUGUAUGCACAGUUAAACCUAACUCAAACAGAAGGAUUAAAAGCAGAGAAAGCUCUGAAUUGUGUAGUGCUGUGAUCCUGCAGAAAUGGACUUUAUUUCAUGUCUGUGAAAUGACAGUGCAAGUGAGGUUAAAAUGUCUUUUGAAUUCAUUCCAAAUUUACACAGAAGAUUAUGAAGCGCCUGAUCAAGCGGUACAUCAUCAAAGCUCAGAUGGACAAAGAAUUUGAUGAAGUCAACGAGGGUGAACUGAAGGAAAUAAAGCAAGACAUUUCCAGUUUGCGCUACGAGCUUCUUGAAGAAAAGACGCACAACAUGGAGCGCAUGGCUGAACUUAUCAGCAAACUUGAAAAACGCGUCUGUUUGCAUAAGGAGUGAAACAGAAG
Molecule: RNA transcript, 8947 nt
Organism: Pangasianodon hypophthalmus (striped catfish)
Lineage: Eukaryota; Metazoa; Chordata; Actinopteri; Siluriformes; Pangasiidae
Gene: trpc6a
Gene name: transient receptor potential cation channel, subfamily C, member 6a
Exons: 11
Source: RefSeq, a predicted model, not a curated record